Molecule: long non-coding RNA, 1533 nt
Filed under: Fukomys damarensis (Damara mole-rat)
Lineage: Eukaryota; Metazoa; Chordata; Mammalia; Rodentia; Bathyergidae
Description: lncRNA (ENSFDAG00000031638.1)
Source: RNAcentral
UGAGGAUUUGGGCUUACGUCCAUUAGCCUUAUUCCAGCCAAUUCCACUGGUGUCACAUAGGGUGGUAAAAGAGUCCUGAGCCCCAGGAAGGGGUGAAGGCUGCAUCCUGGCUCAAAGCUGGCCUGAAGGCACAGGCGUCAAGAAAACAGGCACCAUGAUGCUUGACCAUGGUGCACAGCUGCUUCGUGAAAAAGUGUCCCAGGUUCCCCGCUUUGGCUUCCUGCAGCCUAUAAAUCACUAAGCAUCAGGAUGAAGCCCUUCAUCUUUAAAAAGCUACAACUUAACAAGAAAAUUGGAUUCCCCCUGAGAGCCACAGGAGAGUUCAGGGGUGAAUGCCAUCCCAUUCAAAUGAAGGCAGAAACAAGUGAGAGACCAAAGAAGACAGGAUGUGGCAGGGGCCGGGUGAGCCAGGCAUGGUGGCACAACCCUGUGAUCCCAGCACUCGGGAGGCUGAAGCAGGAGGGUGACUGUGAGUUCAAGGCCAGCCUGAGUCCACAGUGAGUUUAAGGCCAGCCUCAACUAGAUGGCAAGACCCGGUCUCAAUAAAGAGGAGGAGGGUUUGGGGCAUGCCAAGGAUUUGGAGGGUUAGGAGGGACAUGGAGCCUUGCUGAGGGCUCUGAGACAGAACAGUGUUCUGUCCUGGGCUAGCUGGGAGCUGAGUCCGCACCUGCACCUGCACUACGAUGUGUCCACUGUGGAAAUGACGCUGAGACCCUAACCUGCUCCUCAUUGCAGGAAAGGAAACUGAGGCACGUCCUCUUCCUCCUGGACUUAGGUGCAGUGCCAUUCUUGCAGAUAUGAAGUUUGGGAUGCUCAUGUGGGUGAUAGAGUCGGGGCUGAACUCACGUGUGGCUAGGCUGGAGGGAGGGUAAGAAAGAGGUUGGGCCUUCCAGAGGCACAGGGAGAAGAAAGCCAAGCAACUUCGGGCCUUUCUCAGUGUGAGUGGCCGGGGGUGGGUAUAUCCGGGAGACUUAGGCUCUGUGGUACAAUUAGAUCAGGUUUCCCCAUCUAGAAGCGAUUUUUCAAUUUUAUUGAAAAAUGCCAAAUGACAGCCCCAUGCUGUAGGCACCGUGGGAUACAAAGAUAAAUCGGAACCGAGCCUGGGCCUGGGGUUGUUUCAUAUCUAGUCACCAACCACCCCCUGCCCGGGUAGCUAAGUACUAGAAGGGGACAAAGUGGAACUUGGGGCUCCCUGGGUGAGCGUCAUGGGGGAUCACCAGCAUCCAGGAGGCGGUGGCGGGAGGCCCAGGCCGGAGGGGAUGGGUGUACACCAGAACGUGCUUCAUCUGGGACCCAGGGCGGGAGGCAUAAAGGAGCUGGAAGUGGAACCAGGACAUUGGACCCUCUGACCCCCUUCUUUGAAAGAGCUUUGGGAGAGUUUAAGUGUAGAAAUGUUAAGAUGAUUGACAGUGAUGUGUUAUAGGCCCGUAUGUAUUGAUUUGGAAUGAUGUUGGUGAUGUAAGGAGAAAACACAUAGUGAAACAAUACACAAGAAGUUCCCAUUUUUAUUUUAAAACAUAGUGUAUACUCAAG